UACGGAGGGCGCGAGCGUUAAUCGGAAUUACUGGGCGUAAAGCGUGCGUAGGCGGCCUGGUAAGUCCCGCGUGAAAGCCCCGGGCUCAACCUGGGAACUGCGCGGGAUACUGCCUGGCUGGAGUGCGGGAGAGGGGUGUGGAAUUUCCGGUGUAGCAGUGAAAUGCGUAGAGAUCGGAAGGAACACCAGUGGCGAAGGCGGCACCCUGGACCGACACUGACGCUGAGGCACGAAAGCGUGGGGAGCAAACAGG
RNAcentral lists this ribosomal RNA (253 nucleotides) under uncultured bacterium. Its description in RNAcentral is "partial 16S ribosomal RNA". It matches the Rfam family "Bacterial small subunit ribosomal RNA", at positions 524 to 776 of the family's 1533-position model. The record is from RNAcentral.